This is a long non-coding RNA of Seriola aureovittata, 796 nucleotides long. RefSeq lists it as uncharacterized. The transcript is spliced from 4 exons. NCBI's taxonomy places the organism in Eukaryota, Metazoa, Chordata, Actinopteri, Carangiformes, Carangidae. The record is from RefSeq and is a predicted model, not a curated record.
AGGCCAUGCCCCUGAAACCUGCGUCACAGGUGCAGGUACCGUUACCUAGGUGACCGUCGUCACAUUUACCAUGGGUACUGCAGGGGGAGCCGACUCCACCUGGACACACUGGACAAAGGAUCAAUACAGCUGAAGGAGAGCGGGGAGCCCUGCAGAGUCCGAGCCGAGUCCAGGUGGAUCAGGCCUUCAGCGUAAAUCUGAGUUUGAGGGAAGAAAGUUAAGAAUUAAUAUCAAAACAUUCACUCUGAUAAAUUGUGAAGAAAAUCUUUGUUAAACGUAUUAAAGAUAAUAUAAUAAAGGGAAAUGUGUCUGUUCAUCACUGUCAAAUCUGCUAAACGAAUAAAGUAAAUGUCACUUAAUUUUCCCUUUUUUCAACAACAUGUUUCACCAUCGUGGCCUCUGACGUCUCCGUAUGCUGAUGAUGCAGUUAUACCUUCAUAUAAACCCACUGAUGUCAGCACAGGGCUGGAUGGUGAAUCAUCAAAUUAAAAAAGUAUUAACCAGUAAAACCUGCAGCAUCACCUUCUGGGCCUGCAGGAUGUGGUACUUCAGGUACUCCACCAGCUGAGCUCGGUUAUCCUGGUGGAACAGGAAGUCCUUCUGCUCCUGCGGCAGAGACGCCAAGGCGCCGUCUGAGGGCAAGAAGACUGUCACCGGUCAGGAGGAAGCAGGACCUCGUCGAUUUCAUGGAAGAUGCCGUUGACGCUGAUGUCGUGGCUGUACGUCACAUUGGCGUGGUCGAUGAAGAUGCUGCCCUGAGAAUGUAACAGACAAACAGUUUUCAUUUAUGACUUUA